AACGAACGCUGGCGGCAGGCCUAACACAUGCAAGUCGAACGCUCUAGCAAUAGAGAGUGGCAGACGGGUGAGUAACGCGUGGGAACCUUCCCAAUGGUGCAGAAUAGCCCAGGGAAACUUGGGGUAAUACUGCAUAAGCCCUUCGGGGGAAAGAUUUAUCGCCAUUGGAUGGGCCCGCGUCGGAUUAGCUAGUUUGUGAGGAAAUGGCUGGCCAAGGCAACGAUCUGUAGCUGGUUUGAGAGAAUGACCAGCCACACUGGGACUGAGACACGGCCCAGACGCCUACGGGAGGCAGCAGUGGGGAAUCUUGGACAAUGGGCGCAAGCCUGAUCCAGCCAUGCCGCGUGAGUGACGAAGGCCUUAGGGUUGUAAAGCUCUUUUGCCGGGGACGAUAAUGACGGUACCCGGAGAAUAAGUCCCGGCUAACUUCGUGCCAGCAGCCGCCGUAA
This 449-nucleotide ribosomal RNA is filed under the name uncultured bacterium. RNAcentral's name for it is "partial 16S ribosomal RNA". It matches the Rfam family "Bacterial small subunit ribosomal RNA", at positions 29 to 523 of the family's 1533-position model. The record is from RNAcentral.